GCGUAAGCGCGCGCAGGUGGUUUCUUAAGUCUGAUGUGAAAGCCCACGGCUCAACCGUGGAGGGUCAUUGGAAACUGGGAGACUUGAGUGCAGAAGAGGAAAGUGGAAUUCCAUGUGUAGCGGUGAAAUGCGUAGAGAUAUGGAGGAACACCAGUGGCGAAGGCGACUUUCUGGUCUGUAACUGACACUGAGGCGCGAAAGCGUGGGGAGCAAACAGGAUUAGAUACCCUGGUAGUCCACGCCGUACACGAUGAGUGCUAAGUGUUAGAGGGUUUCCGCCCUCCAGUGCUGACGAAAACGCAUUAAGCACUCCCCCUG
Molecule: ribosomal RNA, 318 nt
Filed under: Bacillus cereus
Lineage: Bacteria; Bacillati; Bacillota; Bacilli; Caryophanales; Bacillaceae
Description: bacterial SSU rRNA
Rfam family: Bacterial small subunit ribosomal RNA
Source: RNAcentral